Molecule: long non-coding RNA, 957 nt
Filed under: Linum usitatissimum (flax)
Lineage: Eukaryota; Viridiplantae; Streptophyta; Magnoliopsida; Malpighiales; Linaceae
Description: long non-coding RNA (LUSI_LNC004661)
Source: RNAcentral
UUUAUUUCAGAUGAGUUCUCAUUAAAUUAAGGAAUGACAAGGACAGAACUUGAUUGUUUGGUCGGUCGAAUUAGGCAAAGCAUCUCUGUUUCUAUUGUUUAUUAAAUCGGAUAACACGACAAAAACAGAGUGACAUCUCAGAGAUCCCCCACCUCCAAAAUUCAAAACUCAUAACUUGAUCACGUACAUUCCCCCACAGAGCCCAUUCAAAAUACAAGUUUUAAGUAUGUUACAAGUUCUACUUACCCAUAUAAUACAAGGUCAUUAGAUAAUACUAUACUGGCUUCUAACAAUAGGCAUUCAUCGACAUACUAACUCGAGUGUUCUUCGAUCUUCUCGAUCAAAAGCUUAACUAGGCAGUUCCUGCAGACAUAACUGGUCUGUCCAUGGCUCAAAAGCUCCAUAUAGCAGCAAAUGCUGCACCAACAAAAACCUUCACAUGAGCAUACGCACAAACUAUGCCUGGAUUGUAAGAUUGUUGACCUAGUUAGCUAGAUUCUAUUUGGUUUGGCCAGUAUUAGACUAGUGCCAUGACUAUGUUGUUACUGAUAAGUGUAUCUCUUUCUCUUUGAUAAUUCGACUUGAUUAGGAUCCAAUAACCACAACAUGAUCCUCAGCCUAGACCGAGUGAGUCUAAAUAUGGAUAUUGAGAUGUUGUCUCACUCUCACGUUGUCAUUCAUGAUAACAGCUAUUCUAAACAAACAACUAGCAAUGUGCCACAUUCACCUGCAACCAAUAGACGAAUCCACGCAAGAGAUUCAACGUUUCACGGCGAUGAUGGUUGCCCUCUGGAUCCUUCUGCACCUCAUCAAGCUUCUUUGCAAAGUCUACAAUGUCAUGAAAACAAACAAAAUGGUUUUCAACAUAUGAUGACUGCCUCAGUGUAACGAUACUCUACAAAGUACAGUAAGUAACUGAUGAGAUGACGGAUCAAGGUUAGACAUGCCAGGACCAGG